Molecule: transfer RNA, 73 nt
Filed under: Petromyzon marinus (sea lamprey)
Lineage: Eukaryota; Metazoa; Chordata; Hyperoartia; Petromyzontiformes; Petromyzontidae
Description: tRNA-Gln (TTG) (tRNA-Gln-TTG-16-1)
Rfam family: tRNA
About the family: Transfer RNA (tRNA) molecules are approximately 80 nucleotides in length. Their secondary structure includes four short double-helical elements and three loops (D, anti-codon, and T loops).
Source: RNAcentral
GGUUCCAUGGUGGAAUGGUUAGCACUCAGGACUUUGAAUCCUAGCGUUCCGAGUUCAAGUCUCGGUGGAGCCA